AACGCACAUUGCGCUUCCUGGUAUUCCGGGGAGCAUGCUCGUUUCAGAAUCAAUAUGUUCUCACAAACUAUAUGGGUUGCAAAACCCCUAUAGGGCGUGGAUUUGGGCAUUUUUGCGAUGGUGCCUUUGUGCAACAUUGCAAUUGCCUUAAAAUGAUUGCGUGUAUGCCCCAAUUGGUAGUAAUUGGUUUACCCUCAAUGCAACAGUCAAAUGAAACAUUUUGGGGGACCUUUUGUGAACAUUGGACAUGGAAUACACUUCCAUUCUAUACAGCAACCGUCUCUAGUAUUGAGAUUGUUUCUGAACCUUGGUCUGAAAUCGAGCAAGAAAACCCGCUGAACUUAA
Molecule: unclassified non-coding RNA, 345 nt
Filed under: uncultured Powellomyces
Lineage: Eukaryota; Fungi; Chytridiomycota; Chytridiomycetes; Spizellomycetales; Powellomycetaceae
Description: sequence contains ITS2
Source: RNAcentral